Long non-coding RNA from Triticum urartu, 1303 nucleotides. RefSeq lists it as uncharacterized. The record is from RefSeq and is a predicted model, not a curated record. Lineage: Eukaryota; Viridiplantae; Streptophyta; Magnoliopsida; Poales; Poaceae.
CCUCCACCCAAGCCGGCCCAUUAGCCUAGCCCGCACCCACCAGCUCUAACCCUAGCCGCCAGGAGCCCGAUCCCCUCUCUCUCGAUCUCACCUUCUCCCUCGGGCUGCCACCCCCAGAGACCACACGCCCGCGCCCAAUCUCCUCACCCCUCCAUGCCUUUGCUUCGCCCCCUCCUCUGCUCCCUUAGCCAUGGCGCUUCGGCGCCCUUGUCUCGCCCGCACCGGCGACCAGCAGCAGGUCGCUCCUCUGCGCCACCCCUCCUCUACCAGGGCCUCCCUCCUUCUGCCCCGCCACUCAUCCUGCUUCUCCUCGUCGCCACCAACCCGCCUCGACCACGCCGCCGGCAGCAGCAGCAGCUGCUGCACCAUCUCGCUGACGCCGCGCCCGGACCUUCCCGCGCGCCUCCCUCUGCAGCACCAGGCCGCGACCGCGCCGCCUCCUCGCCAAGUCCCUGUCGCCCGAGCACUGAAGGAGAGGAGCUCCUCGAGCACCUGCGCCCGCAUCCAUCGUCCCCGGCACCCAGCAGGAGCCUCGCGUCGCUCGUCCCCUUCGUUUUGAUCGGAGCUCGCCGGAGCCCCAACAACGGUCGCCUUGCACCCGCAAGCACCACCACCUCCAGCGCGCCUCGAGCCUCCUCCUGAUCCGGAGGUCCUUGUCGUGCCCCUGCCUCACUGCGUUCAGCGCCGGAGUUCCUCUACCGACGCCUUCGAUCCAUCACCUCGCAAAGGAGAGGAUCAGCAGUACAAGCCGCAUCGAGCCACGGCAAAAACCUGCUGCGUUGACCAAGGCCCUGCUCAAGCCAUCAAGAUCGGCAAGGCUGACUACACGGAACGCCAAGUACCACGACGACCAUCGACAUGUACCCCUACACCGCACCGAAACACCGAGUUCCUCUCCGAACAUGUGUACGACUACCAUGGUCGACGACUCAUACACCACAACCAUUUCCGAAGAAACGUGUUACGGAACCGUCAAGUUCGACUAUCAAUCAUGUACGACUAUGCGGGAUUCCUCGGACGCCAAGUUCAAUGAUGCGUCAAGUUCCUCGCCGUGACCCCGAACAUCUACGGAAACUUGUGCGGCUAUGAACGUGAACGACUACCGUUGCCUCGAAAAUGUUGGAUCCGUCAAGUACCUCUCCGAAAACGAACGUGUACCACUACUUCUACUACCGUUGCGAGAACGACUACUUCCACUGUGACCCGUCAACGACUACUUCCCUCGACGUUUUUGAACCGCCUUGAAAUGCAUGCUUCGGAGGUAUACCGCUGAGACGAUCACUGUAGACAGAUGCUUGUUGUA